UUCCAAAAAUAUUUCAGAUAUAAUAAUUUAGAUUUCAGAUUAACUCAAAACCGGAACCGGAAGAUCUUAUAACUUUCUCUUUUAUCCCUCAUCUUCUCAGAUACUCUGAAACAAGAUGAGAGCCAAGUGGAGGAAAAAGCGUAUGCGCAGGUUGAAGCGAAAAAGGAGGAAGAUGAGGGCUAGGUAAUAUUCUAUAGACACUUAAUUUAAUUUGCUGAACUUUCUAACAGUUUACACCACAUUAAUGUUCAGGUCUUGUAAA
Ruditapes philippinarum (Manila clam) is the source of this 262-nucleotide long non-coding RNA. RefSeq lists it as uncharacterized. Lineage: Eukaryota; Metazoa; Mollusca; Bivalvia; Venerida; Veneridae. The transcript is spliced from 3 exons. The record is from RefSeq and is a predicted model, not a curated record.